GGGUUCGGCCCUCGGCGCACUGCUCAGUAACACGUGGAUAACCUACCCUGAGGUANGGGAUAACCCCGGGAAACUGGGGAUAAUACCCUAUAGGUUUCAGAUGCUGGAAUGCACUGAAACUCAAAGCUCCGGCGCCUCAGGAUGGAUCUGCGGCCGAUUAGGUAGUUGUUGGGGUAACGGCCCAACAAGCCUGUAAUCGGUACGGGUUGUGGGAGCAAGAGCCCGGAGAUGGAUUCUGAGACACCAAUCCAGGCCCUACGGGGCGCAGCAGGCGCGAAAACUUUACAAUGCGAGAAAUCGUGAUAAGGGAACCCCGAGUGCCUGAAACCAGGCUGUUCAGGUGUGUAAAAAGCACCUGGAGAAAGGGCCGGGUAAGACCGGUGCCAGCCGCCGCGGUAAUACCGGCGGCUCGAGUGGUGGCCGCGAUUAUUGGGCUUAAAGCGUCCGUUGCUGGGUUGCUAAGUCUCUUGGGAAAUCUCACGGCUUAACCGUGAGGCGUCCAAGAGAUACUGGCAAUCUUGGGACCGGGAGAGGUGAGAGGUACUCCAGGGGUAGGAGUGAAAUCCUGUAAUCCUUGGGGGACCACCGGUGGCGAANGCGUCUCACCAGAACGGCUCCGACAGUGAGGGACGAAAGCU
Molecule: ribosomal RNA, 638 nt
Filed under: uncultured archaeon
Lineage: Archaea
Description: bacterial SSU rRNA
Rfam family: Archaeal small subunit ribosomal RNA
Source: RNAcentral